GGAAUAUUGGACAAUGGGCGAAAGCCUGAUCCAGCAACGCCGCGUGGAGGAUGAAGGCCUUCGGGUUGUAAACUCCUGUCAGGUGGGGCGAAGGAAGCUUGGUCAAUAGCCAGGCUUCUUGACGGUACCAUCAGAGGAAGCCCCGGCUAACCACGGGCCAGCAGCCGCGGCAACACGGAGGGGGCAAGCGUUAUUCGGAAUUAUUGGGCGUAAAGGGCGCGUAGGCGGCUUGACAAGUCAGGGGUGAAAUCCCUCGGCUCAACCGGGGAACUGCCUCUGAAACUAUCAAGCUUGAGUCCGGGAGAGGGUAGUGGAAUUCCCAGUGUAGCGGUGAUAUGCGUAGAUAUUGGGAGGAACACCAGUGGCGAAAGCGGCUACCUGGACCGGUACUGACGCUGAGGCGCGAAAGCGUGGGGAGCAA
RNAcentral lists this ribosomal RNA (421 nucleotides) under uncultured bacterium. RNAcentral describes it as "bacterial SSU rRNA". It matches the Rfam family "Bacterial small subunit ribosomal RNA", at positions 358 to 771 of the family's 1533-position model. The record is from RNAcentral.